UUCAUUUGUUUUUGAUUAUUGAAAAGAAGAGGAGAAAAUGGAUUGAUUGAUACAGGGAUCCAGGAGGUACUGAAAAAGGGACAAUGCUUCGACUGAAUGUGUCAUUCAUUUACAUGUACCAGUAUAGAUCUGUUACUGAGGCAUAUCCAAUAAUUCUUAUAAUCAUGAAGAGUGUGGCAACUUCCAAGUAGUUGAUGCUGGGACUCAUUUUAAAUCAGAUGCUCACUUCUAGGAUGUUUCCAGGUUCUUGUUAAAAGUGUUUUAUAUGGCACCAUUCAGCUACAAAUACUUUGCCGGUGGAACUGUGACAUCAAUCAACUGCUCAUGCCACUGCUGAUUGGCA
This is a long non-coding RNA of Saccostrea cuccullata (small rock oyster), 343 nucleotides long. RefSeq lists it as uncharacterized. The record is from RefSeq and is a predicted model, not a curated record. Lineage: Eukaryota; Metazoa; Mollusca; Bivalvia; Ostreida; Ostreidae. The transcript is spliced from 3 exons.